This 621-nucleotide ribosomal RNA is filed under the name uncultured bacterium. RNAcentral's name for it is "bacterial SSU rRNA". The stretch from base 1 to 539 matches the Rfam family "Bacterial small subunit ribosomal RNA", at positions 338 to 873 of the family's 1533-position model. The record is from RNAcentral.
CCUACGGGAGGCAGCAGUGGGGAAUUUUGGACAAUGGGCGCAAGCCUGAUCCAGCAAUGCCGCGUGAGUGAAGAAGGCCUUCGGGUUGUAAAGCUCUUUUGUCAGGGAGGAAACGGCUGAGGAUAAUACCUUCGGCUAAUGACGGUACCUGAAGAAUAAGCACCGGCUAACUACGUGCCAGCAGCCGCGGUAAUACGUAGGGUGCAAGCGUUAAUCGGAAUUACUGGGCGUAAAGCGUGCGCAGGCGGUUUUGUAAGUCUGACGUGAAAUCCCCGGGCUCAACCUGGGAAUUGCGUUGGAGACUGCAAGGCUGGAGUCUGGCAGAGGGGGGUAGAAUUCCACGUGUAGCAGUGAAAUGCGUAGAGAUGUGGAGGAACACCGAUGGCGAAGGCAGCCCCCUGGGUCAAGACUGACGCUCAUGCACGAAAGCGUGGGGAGCAAACAGGAUUAGAUACCCUGGUAGUCCACGCCCUAAACGAUGUCUACUAGUUGUCGGGUCUUAAUUGACUUGGUAACGCAGCUACGCGUGAGUAGACGCCGNGGGAGGUACGGUCGGUCGAGAGUUAAACGUACGUUAAGAAGUAGAGGNGNGNGAGNGCGAGGCGACGACGAGGGAGGAGG